RNAcentral lists this ribosomal RNA (571 nucleotides) under uncultured Methanocellales archaeon. Its description in RNAcentral is "bacterial SSU rRNA". It matches the Rfam family "Archaeal small subunit ribosomal RNA", at positions 339 to 906 of the family's 1478-position model. Lineage: Archaea; Methanobacteriati; Methanobacteriota; Methanomicrobia; Methanocellales. The record is from RNAcentral.
GCGCGAAAACUCUACAAUGCAGGCAACUGCGAUAGGGGAACAUCGAGUGAUCCUCAUAUUGGGGGGUCUGUCCACCCGUCUAAAAAACGGGUGUUAGCAAGGGCCGGGCAAGACCGGUGCCAGCCGCCGCGGUAAUACCGGCGGCUCGAGUGGUGGCCGAUAUUAUUGAGUCUAAAGGGUCCGUAGCCGGCUUUGCAAGUCUCUCGGGAAAUCCAGCGGCUUAACCGUUGGUCGUCCGGGGGGUACUACAUUGCUUGGGACUGGGAGAGGUAGGAGGUACUCAGGGGGUAGGAGUGAAAUCCUGUAAUCCUUUGGGGACCACCGGUGGCGAAGGCGUCCUACCAGAACAGGUCCGACGGUGAGGGACGAAAGCUAGGGGCACGAACCGGAUUAGAUACCCGGGUAGUCCUAGCCGUAAACGAUGCUCGCUAGGUGUCACAACAGUCGUGAAUUGUUGUGGUGCCGUAGGGAAGCCGUGAAGCGAGCCACUUGGGAAGUACGACCGCAAAGGUUGAAAACUUAAAGGAAUUGGGCGGGGGAGCACCACGAACGGGUGAGCCUGCGGUUUAAU